Molecule: ribosomal RNA, 253 nt
Filed under: uncultured bacterium
Lineage: Bacteria
Description: partial 16S ribosomal RNA
Rfam family: Bacterial small subunit ribosomal RNA
Source: RNAcentral
UACGUAGGGAGCAAGCGUUGUCCGGAAUCAUUGGGCGUAAAGCGCGCGUAGGCGGCCCGAUAAGUCCGCUGUAAAAGUCAACGGCUCAACUGUUGAAAGCCGGUGGAUACUGUCGGGCUAGAGUACGGAAGAGGCAAGUGGAAUUCCCGGUGUAGCAGUGAAAUGCGUAGAGAUCGGGAGGAACAUCUGUGGCGAAGGCGACUGCCUGGACCAGCACUGACACUGAGGCACGAAAGCGUGGGGAGCAAACAGG